AAUACCGCGGCCCUUUAAAAAUUUUUCAGUGGGCAGAUUAGACUUUAAAUUAUUAUCAAAAAGACAUGUUUUUGUUAAACAGGCGAGUAUUUAUUUGCCGAAUUCCUUAAUUCAACCUUUCAAUUAAUUUAUUCUUAACAACUUAAUAUACUAAUUUUAUCAUUAUUUCAAUUUUUAUAUUAUUAAAAAAAUUAUUUUAAUAAAAAUUUAAAUUAAUAAAAAUUAUUUUUAAUUUAAAAUAAAUUAUAACAUUUUUAUAAUUAAUGACUAUUUCUAAGCCUAUAAUUUUUAAAUCAAAAAAUUAUUAUAAAAUUUAUUUUAAAGCUUAUCCCCUAAAACAUUAAUUAUUAAUAAUAAUCUAUUAUUAUAAAUAAAUAAUUAUAUAUUAAUAAUCUAAAUUCAAUUUAUUUCUUAAAAAACUAGAUAUUUUUAAAAACGAAUAACAUUUCAUUUCCAAUUAAUUAUUUUAAAUUUUUUUGAAACAAAAAAUUAAAUAAUUAAUUAACUCUUUUAAAUUCGAGAAAAUUAAAUCCUUAAUUUUUAAUUAAUAAACCCUGAUACACAAGGUACAACAUAUAAAAUUUACUUUUAAUUUAAUAUUUUUUCAAAUAUUUCAAUAUUCUUUUACAAUACUAAUUAACUAUUAUAAAAAUUAUUUGAUCUAUAUUAUAUACAAAAAAAAAUUAAUUUAAAAUUGAUUUUAUUAAUAAAUUAAAUUCAAAAAAAAAAUUAAUAAAUUAUCUCUAUCAAAUUAAAUUGAAUCACACAAUAUACUUUUCAAUGUAAAUGAAAUGCUUUACUUUUCAAGCUCUAAUUUGUCUUUCUAGAUACACCUUC
This 837-nucleotide ribosomal RNA is filed under the name Panorpodes kuandianensis. Its description in RNAcentral is "partial 16S rRNA". The record is from RNAcentral. Lineage: Eukaryota; Metazoa; Arthropoda; Insecta; Mecoptera; Panorpodidae.